CAGCCGCCGCGGUAAUACGUAGGGGGCGAGCGUUGUCCGAAGUUACUGGGCGUAAAGCGCGCGUAGGCGGCUUCUUAAGUCUGAGGUGAAAGGUUCAACGCUUAACGUGAACAGUGCCUUGGACACUGGGGAGCUUGAGUAUGGGAGAGGGCAGUGGAAUGGCUGGUGUAGCGGUGAAAUGCGUAGAUAUCAGUCGGAACACCCAUGGCGAAGGCAGCUGCCUGGCCUAAUACUGACGCUGAGGUGCGAAAGCGUGGGGAGCGAACGGGAUUAGAUACCCCAGUAGUCCCUGUCUCUUAUU
This 301-nucleotide ribosomal RNA is filed under the name uncultured bacterium. RNAcentral describes it as "partial 16S ribosomal RNA". It matches the Rfam family "Bacterial small subunit ribosomal RNA", at positions 509 to 808 of the family's 1533-position model. The record is from RNAcentral.